RNAcentral lists this non-coding RNA (67 nucleotides) under Blautia schinkii. RNAcentral describes it as "Cyclic di-GMP-I riboswitch". It matches the Rfam family "c-di-GMP-I riboswitch aptamer", at positions 6 to 83 of the family's 87-position model. Rfam says of the family: GEMM was predicted in a large-scale screen for bacterial structured RNA regulatory elements. Genes associated with GEMM are involved in a diverse array of functions, including chemotaxis regulation, signal transduction, secretion and chitin. The record is from RNAcentral. Lineage: Bacteria; Bacillati; Bacillota; Clostridia; Lachnospirales; Lachnospiraceae.
AAAUCGGCAAAGCAGACGAAAGUCUGUGACGCAAAGCUACAGGGCCUGUAAAAUGGUAGCCAGUUGC